Caenorhabditis japonica is the source of this 70-nucleotide non-coding RNA. The record is from Rfam. Lineage: Eukaryota; Metazoa; Nematoda; Chromadorea; Rhabditida; Rhabditidae.
CACUCGGUCCGACGCCGGUGGGUUAUCAAAACCGUUCCCCUUCCCAUCGGCACAAACUUGACCGUAUAGU